AAAAUGCGAGAAGGGUCUGGCUGCAGACCAUGGGCGAGUGGAGCUCCACUCUCGAACCGGAAAUACGUCACCUCCACUUGAAAACAUCAAGAUGGCGUCGCCGUGAGUUCUUCAAACUUAAACUCAGAUCAAAUGUAUAUCAAGUGUUAUCCAUCCUCAUAACACCUCCACAGACAGAGACUGAACUUCUGAGCACCAUCACCUUGUCUGCUUUGGGACUGUCAAAGGUGAAUGAUGCAGUACUUUUCUGUGUUGAAUUUACAUAACGUCAGUACACAGACAUAGUUUUGUUCCAGUUUUGCUGUGCUCAUGUCUUCUUUGUGUCCCCAGCCCAGCAAUCAGAUGCAUCAGAACAAGUGCAGUGAAGAUAUUAAAAGAGACACUAUCACUAUCUAAAGUACAGAAAGCCGUACAUCAUCUCUAGCUGCAGUCGCUUACAGUGCAGCCAGCUACACAAAGACUGUGGGUCUGGUCACCAGAGA
Molecule: long non-coding RNA, 482 nt
Organism: Cyprinus carpio carpio
Lineage: Eukaryota; Metazoa; Chordata; Actinopteri; Cypriniformes; Cyprinidae
Source: Ensembl